AGCUUUGUGCUGUGGCAGUAUCAUAGCCAGUGAGAUUUAUCCAAGGUGCGAUUACUGCUAACUGAAAAAUACAGAAUUAAAACAAAUCUGCUUUGUAUUUUCUUUAGUCAUGUUUUCAGUGCAUCAGAGUUUACUAUUAAAAGAAUUGUUCACGUUGGGUUUUGUCUCA
RNAcentral lists this small nuclear RNA (169 nucleotides) under Suricata suricatta (meerkat). RNAcentral describes it as "U4 spliceosomal RNA (ENSSSUG00005006650.1)". The stretch from base 1 to 118 matches the Rfam family "U4 spliceosomal RNA". From Rfam's summary of the family: U4 small nuclear RNA (U4 snRNA) is a component of the major U2-dependent spliceosome. Lineage: Eukaryota; Metazoa; Chordata; Mammalia; Carnivora; Herpestidae. The record is from RNAcentral.